This is a long non-coding RNA of Sander lucioperca (pikeperch), 293 nucleotides long. RefSeq lists it as uncharacterized. Lineage: Eukaryota; Metazoa; Chordata; Actinopteri; Perciformes; Percidae. The record is from RefSeq and is a predicted model, not a curated record. The transcript has 2 exons.
GUCUUAGCAAAAAGUCACCCAACGCAAGGCUGGCAUGAUGUCGGAUUUUACUCCUUCUCAGGGAGGUGGUGUUUUUGUCUUUAAGCCCACUCGCUCAAACCCACAAGUAAAUCUUGAUCCUAGAAGUUCAAGACCAAUUCCAAUGGUAUCAUCAGACCAUCCCAGGUGGCGGCAGCAACAGGUGCCUGUGUCCAACAGACAUCGUUGACCUUUCAUGUUCCCGACCUUUCUGGAAGCAGUCUGCUCUUGCAUCAAUUGUUUUUGAGACGGUCAAUAAAAUACUUGGAACUGCA